ACGUAGGUGGCAAGCGUUGUCCGGGUUUACUGGGUGUAAAGGGCGUGUAGGCGGAGGUGCAAGUCAGAAGUGAAAUCCACGGGCUUAACUCGUGAACUGCUUUUGAAACUGUACCCCUUGAGUAUCGGAGAGGCAGGCGGAAUUCCUAGUGUAGCGGUGAAAUGCGUAGAUAUUAGGAGGAACACCAGUGGCGAAGGCGGCCUGCUGGACGACAACUGACGCUGAGGCGCGAAAGCGUGGGGAGCAAACAG
Molecule: ribosomal RNA, 251 nt
Filed under: uncultured prokaryote
Description: partial 16S rRNA
Rfam family: Bacterial small subunit ribosomal RNA
Source: RNAcentral